GAUGAAGAACGUAGCGAAAUGCGAUACGUAAUGUGAAUUGCAGAAUUCAGUGCAUCAUCGAGUCUUUGAACGCACAUUGCGCCCCCUGGUAUUCCGGGGGGCAUGCCUGUCCGAGCGUCAUUGCUGCCCUCAAGCACGGCUUGUGUGUUGGGCCUCCGUCCUCCUCCCGGGGGACGGGCCCGAAAGGCAGCGGCGGCACCGCGUCCGGUCCUCGAGCGUAUGGGGCUUCGUCACCCGCUCUUGUAGGCCCGGCCGGCGCUUGCCGACACAUCAAUCUUUUUUCCAGGUUGACCUCGGAUCAGGUAGGGAUACCCGCUGAACUUAAGCAUAUCAAUAAGCGGAGGA
This 345-nucleotide unclassified non-coding RNA is filed under the name soil metagenome. RNAcentral describes it as "partial contains 5.8S ribosomal RNA, internal transcribed spacer 2, and large subunit ribosomal RNA". The stretch from base 1 to 120 matches the Rfam family "5.8S ribosomal RNA", at positions 35 to 154 of the family's 154-position model. The record is from RNAcentral.